AUGCAGACUUCCUUCAACCAUAGCUUCUUUAUCUAGAUUUUGUUUAGGCUGAUCUUGAGCUCGUUGGACUCCAUUUAUCAUCAUGGACCUCGCUAUAGGCUUAGUGUGGACCGAAUCUUAAGGCAUCAAAUCUUAAUAGAAGAAGAGAAAGGCUUCAACUAUUAUCGAAGCCUAAAAGAAGCAACAGUCUAUCGGGGCUGGGCAGUCAUCUGGAUCCCCCUCCCCC
Molecule: long non-coding RNA, 226 nt
Filed under: Elaeis guineensis (African oil palm)
Lineage: Eukaryota; Viridiplantae; Streptophyta; Magnoliopsida; Arecales; Arecaceae
Description: long non-coding RNA (EGUI_LNC057782)
Source: RNAcentral